This 497-nucleotide ribosomal RNA is filed under the name uncultured bacterium. RNAcentral's name for it is "partial 16S ribosomal RNA". It matches the Rfam family "Bacterial small subunit ribosomal RNA", at positions 28 to 507 of the family's 1533-position model. The record is from RNAcentral.
GAUGAACGCUGGCGGCGUGCCUAAUACAUGCAAGUCGAGCGAACAGAUGAGGAGCUUGCUCCUCUGACGUUAGCGGCGGACGGGUGAGUAACACAUGGAUAACCUACCUAUAAGACUGGGAUAACUUCGGGAAACCGGAGCUAAUACCGGAUAAUAUAUUGAACCGCAUGGUUCAAUAGUGAAAGACGGUUUUGCUGUCACUUAUAGAUGGAUCCGCGCCGCAUUAGCUAGUUGGUACGGUAACGGCUUACCAAGGCAACGAUGCGUAGCCGACCUGAGAGGGUGAUCGGCCACACUGGAACUGAGACACGGUCCAGACUCCUACGGGAGGCAGCAGUAGGGAAUCUUCCGCAAUGGGCGAAAGCCUGACGGAGCAACGCCGCGUGAGUGAUGAAGGUCUUCGGAUCGUAAAACUCUGUUAUUAGGGAAGAACAAAUGUGUAAGUAACUAUGCACGUCUUGACGGUACCUAAUCAGAAAGCCACGGCUAACUACGUG